GGCGCAGGCGGGAAUACAAGUCAGCUGUGAAAUUCCAGGGCUCAACCCUGGAACAGCAUCUGAAACUGUAUUUCUUGAGGACAGGCGGAGAAAACGGAAUUCCAUGUGUAGCGGUGAAAUGCGUAGAUAUAUGGAGGAACACCCGUGGCGAAGGCGGUUUUCUAGCUUGAUCCUGACGCUGAGGCCCGAAAGCUAGGGGAGCAAACAGGAUUAGAUACCCUGGUAGUCC
Molecule: ribosomal RNA, 229 nt
Filed under: uncultured bacterium
Lineage: Bacteria
Description: partial 16S ribosomal RNA
Rfam family: Bacterial small subunit ribosomal RNA
Source: RNAcentral